CCUGGUUGAUCCUGCCAGUAGUCAUAUGCUUGUCUCAAAGAUUAAGCCAUGCAUGUCUAAGUAUAAGUUUUUUACUGCGAAACUGUGAAUGGCUCAUUAUAACAGUUAUUAUUUCCUAGCCGGUCAGUUAUUCCUUGGAUACCCAUGGUAAUUCUAGAGCUAAUACAUGCUUACAGACCCAACUUCACGGAAGGGUUGCGCUUAUUAGAUACCGAACCAACCCCGCAAGGGAUUUAGUUGAUUCAUAGUGUUCUGGCGAAUCGACUUCUAGUCGAUGAGGCUAUCAAGUUUCUGACCUAUCAGCUUCCGACGGUAGGGUAUUGGCCUACCGUGGCUUUGACGGGUAACGGAGAAUUAGGGUUCGAUUCCGGAGAGGGAGCCUGAGAAACGGCUACCACAUCUAAGGAAGGCAGCAGGCGCGUAAAUUACCCAAUCCUGACACAGGGAGGUAGUGACAAGAAAUAUCAAUAUAAGACUUUUGUGUCUUGUAAUUGGGAUGAGCGGAACUUAAAUCGCUUCUCGAGUAUCAAUUGGAGGGCAAGUCUGGUGCCAGCAGCCGCGGUAAUUCCAGCUCCAAUAGCGUAUAUUAAAAUUGUUGCGGUUAAAACGCUCGUAGUUGGAUAUCUGUGAGCGGGUUUCGGUCCUUCCCAGUGAAGAUUACACGGAACUCUGCUCGCAUUUGUUCAGGGAGGGUGGAUGCACUUCACUGUGUGACCACAUGAUCUGAAUUUUUACUUUGAGGAAAUGAGAGUGUUCCAAGCAGGCAAUUGCCGUGAAUAUGAUAGCAUGGAAUAAUAGCACAGGACUCUUGGUUCAAUGCUGUUGGUUUGUUGAACUAGAGUAAUCACAAUAAGGAUAGUUGGGGGUAUUCGUAUUUAACUGUCAGAGGUGAAAUUCUUGGAUUUUUUAAAGACGAACAAUUGCGAAGGCAUCUACCCAGGAUGUUUUUGUUGAUCAAGAACGAAAGUUAGGGGAUCGAAGACGAUCAGAUACCGUCCUAGUCUUAACCUUAAACUAUGCCGGCUGGAGAUUGGGGUCGUCAGAUUUGUGACGUCCUCAGCAUCCUAUGAGAAAUCUAAGUCUUUGGGUUCCGGGGGGAGUAUGGUCGCAAGGCUGAAACUUAAAGGAAUUGACGGAAGGGCACCACCAGGAGUGGAGCCUGCGGCUUAAUUUGACUCAACACGGGAAAACUCACCAGGUCCAGACAUAGAUAGGAUUGACAGACUGAUAGCUCUUUCUUAAUUCUAUGGGUGGUGG
Molecule: ribosomal RNA, 1257 nt
Filed under: marine metagenome
Description: SSU rRNA
Rfam family: Eukaryotic small subunit ribosomal RNA
Source: RNAcentral